RNAcentral lists this ribosomal RNA (800 nucleotides) under uncultured bacterium. RNAcentral describes it as "bacterial SSU rRNA". It matches the Rfam family "Bacterial small subunit ribosomal RNA", at positions 8 to 782 of the family's 1533-position model. The record is from RNAcentral.
AGAGUUUGAUCCUGGCUCAGAACGAACGCUGGCGGCGUGCCUAACACAUGCAAGUCGUACGAGAAAUCCUGGGCAACUGGGAAAGUAAAGUGGCGCACGGGUGAGUAACGCGUGGGUAACCUACCCUUGGAUUUGGGAUAACUCCGCGAAAGCGGGGUUAAUACCGGAUGAUAUUCCGAUUUCUACGGGGAUUGGAAUCAAAGGUGGCCUCUGCAUGCAAGCUACUGUCUAAGGAUGGGCCCGCGUACCAUUAGCUAGUUGGUAGGGUAAUGGCCUACCAAGGCAACGAUGGUUAGCUGGUCUUAGAGGAUGGCCAGCCACACUGGAACUGAGACACGGUCCAGACUCCUACGGGAGGCAGCAGUGGGGAAUCUUGCGCAAUGGGGGAAACCUUGACGCAGCAACGCCGCGCGGGUGAUGAAGGCCUUCGGGUCGUAAAGCCCUGUCAGGUGGGAAGAAACAUAUUGGUGCUAAUAUCACCGAUGUUUGACGGUACCGCCGGAGGAAGCACCGGCUAACUCCGUGCCAGCAGCCGCGGUAAUACGGAGGGUGCAAGCGUUGUUCGGAAUUACUGGGCGUAAAGCGCGUGUAGGCGGUUGGGCAAGUCAGAUGUGAAAGCCUUCCGCUUAACGGAAGAAGUGCAUUUGAAACUACCCGGCUGGAGUACGGGAGAGGAGAGUGGAAUUCCCGGUGUAGAGGUGAAAUUCGUAGAUAUCGGGAGGAACACCAGUGGCGAAGGCGGCUCUCUGGUCCGAUACUGACGCUGAGACGCGAAAGCGUGGGGAGCAAACAGGAUUAGA